RNAcentral lists this long non-coding RNA (2334 nucleotides) under Nicotiana tabacum (common tobacco). RNAcentral describes it as "long non-coding RNA (NTAB_LNC012378)". The record is from RNAcentral. Lineage: Eukaryota; Viridiplantae; Streptophyta; Magnoliopsida; Solanales; Solanaceae.
GAGUUUAGGCGAAUCCCAUGCGAUGGGGCAAACCUCAGCGAGGACGCUGAGUCCAUAAGAGGGGGUGUAUGUAACACACCAGACUUUAGACAAAGUCUCACAUCGGCAAAACACGAGAGGGAUGUUGGGUAUAUAAGUUAACAAGUUUUAAACCCUAGUGACGCGUUUUAAACCGGUGAAGGCCUAGGCCUAGGCCCAGAGCGGACAAUAUAACUAGCGGGUUGGGCUGUUACAUAGGCCGAGGCAAAAGGUCCAGGUAUGAUCAUUAUGUGCUAGGUAGAUAUCCGCAUAGUGUUUCACUAAACCAAGCAACUUAGGUUAAGUGAUAAAUGUGUGGAUGAAAGAAACAUAUCUCGCAUUCAGUCAUUUGGUGUAAAUACAGGAUGUUGCUAAGUUUUUACCUCAGUGCUAACGUCUACAUUAGAUAGUCCCAUCUCGCUAACUGCAUAGGCGGAGUCAGGAUUUGAAAUUUGUUGGUUCAGGAUUCUAAAUUGCUUAAGUUAGUGGGUUCUAAAUUAGAAAUUUAUACAUAUUCAAUAGAUCUCUUAAAACAAAUAUAAGAUUUGAACAAAAGCUACUGGGUUCGGCCGAAUCCGUAGCUCGUGCGCUAGCUCCGCCCCUGGUCAAUCCAGUAGCUUUUGUUUAAACUUUAAAACCUAGUUUUUAGCACUUUAAAAUUACAUCUUUAUCAAUAUUUAUCACUCUUUUAAGGUAGGGUUAAUUAGGAGCUGGAAAUGUAGAGAUCUUUCACUUUCAACAUCUCUGGACCAGCAAGAUGCAUGCAAACAGAAGCGGAGCCAGUAUAUCGGUUCUGAAUUUGUCGCGGAACCCAUAGAUCGUCUUAGUUACUGGGUUCGCAAUUAAUAUUUGUAUAUAUUUAAUGAAUUUCUUAAUAUAAAUACAAUAUUUAAGCAAAAGUGAUUGGGUUCGGCCGAACCCGCACCUAUAAGGCUAGCUCCGCCUCUGUCGCUAAGCCUUGUUGGGUAGAAUUACCAGGUAACAAUUUUUUUUUUUGAUAAGGGAAUUACCCGAUGCAAUGCUUGUGGAAGGUAGGUACCCGGUGGAAGGACAUCACCAUCAUCAUAGAAAAGAAAGAAGGAAAAGACGUCCACAGUAUCAGAACCAAAUUCCUGGUGAAAGACUUAUCGAGGCUCAAUAUAUCCUAUUUUUUAGGGAGAUCUGAGAACCAACACUUGAUACCUCGGUACGGGCUCAAGGUAAUCCGUUCUUCCAUAGCUACUGUCUAGAGCUUAUUUGCACGUUGUCAAUUUAGAAGUCUCAGCUGUACUACCUACGAACUUUUUGAUACAUUCAUCAAUUUUCUUGGAGAUGUCACCUACUGGAUGUACUAGUCUUUUUGGUGAUAUCUACAUAACAUACUUCAUAGAGGUAUGCAAGGACACAUUAGUGUGAACAUUUUCCAGUCUAGUCCAGACUUCAUUUCGAUAUGGAAACAUGAUGCACAAUAUUGCAUUUGUGCAUCUAGCAAUUCGAAUUUUACCUCAGCUCUUGCACUACAUUUCACGCCUAUUAAGAGGCUUGAUUGUCAGAAAAAAGAAUUUGUCUUACAUUCAUCAGCAGUCAAGUAUUGAAUUCCAGCAAAUCAGUUUAUAAAGGAAUGCCCGUCCGUAUUUUUGAAAGAAUUUAAUUAUUAGCUGAAGAAAUUUUAUGCUGCUCCAUUUAUAGGUCUUCAAGAAGCCAUGCGCUGAAAAGACCUCUUUGGUGGUGACACUUUUUAUUGGCUUAAGAACAAACAACUAAUAUUGAGUACUUUCUAGCGCACAAUUUGUUAUAGGCACAAGUCAUGCUCUUAACUUUUAGCAAAAAAUUUAUUUUUCAACAACUUCAAAGUGCACAUGCUUUGCUGUGUAUCCGGCUAUUUCAGUCAGAAUCCUCUUCACAGUUACAAACUUAGAAAAUUCAAGCUUGUGCUAGUUGCAGAGCUUCAUUACCAGACCUCUAUCUCUGGAGAUAUUACAAUAGGACUUCUUACUGUAUGAUUUCCAUUCUCUUCCACCCAGGUGAUUGAACCAGAUUGGACUUCUUGUUCUGCAUCGCCUGAUUCUAGAAAGUAAUCAGUUGCUAAUUCUAUAUUGCUACCAAUUUUUGCUGCUGCAAUAUUAGAUGGGUAGGCGGCUAGAAUUAACACUCCUGGUGCUAAUAUGUCUGGCUUUGCCUCUCUCAGGUAGCUUCGAGAGGGACCUCUAGCUGAGGAUGCAGAAACAACUGGAGCAGGCUUUGAGUCCAAAUGCGUCUCCAGGAAACUAAUGCUGGCCUUGGGUUCAGGAGUCUUUGUGACAUAACUCAUAACCUUUUUCGCUUCCUUGGGGGUUA